CCCUGGAGAGCCCCUCUCCCCUCUCAUCCACACUCAGACCAGAGGGCCCUCCGCCUGCCCCGCCCCUGCCAUGAGCCCCUGCCUCCUCGGCUUCGUGGUCUUCUGUCCUCUGCAGGCAGAUGGAAGGCACAGAUCUGUGAGACUGUGGAUCACUGGCCACUAGGAGGCACUGUGGCUCCAUGGCCUGGUGGAAUCUGGAGUCACCCAGACCCCCAAGUACCUGAUCAAAUCAAGAAAGCAGCAAGCGACUCUGAGAUGUUCCCCUGAAUCUGGAC
Molecule: long non-coding RNA, 275 nt
Organism: Dama dama (fallow deer)
Lineage: Eukaryota; Metazoa; Chordata; Mammalia; Artiodactyla; Cervidae
Exons: 3
Source: RefSeq, a predicted model, not a curated record